CUACGGGUUGCUCCAGUGGGGAAUAUUGGGCAAUGGGCGCAAGCCUGACCCAGCAACGCCGCGUGAGGGAAGAAUGUGUGUGGAUUGUAAACCUCUGUCCUUGGGGACGAAAAAAAUGACGGUACCCAAGGAGGAAGCUCCGGCUAACUACGUGCCAGCAGCCGCGGUAAUACGUAGGGAGCAAGCGUUGUCCGGAAUUAUUGGGCGUAAAGGGUGCGUAGGCGGCGCUGUAAGUCAGAUGUGAAAUCCCCGGGCUUAACUCGGGAGUUGCAUUUGAAACUACAGUGCUUGAGUAAAGAAGGGGUAAGUGGAAUUCCUAGUGUAGCGGUGGAAUGCGUAGAUAUUAGGAGGAACACCAGUGGCGAAGGCGACUUACUGGUCUUUUACUGACGCUGAGGCACGAAAGCGUGGGGAGCAAACAGGAUUAGAUACCCUGGUAGUC
RNAcentral lists this ribosomal RNA (442 nucleotides) under uncultured bacterium. Its description in RNAcentral is "partial 16S ribosomal RNA". It matches the Rfam family "Bacterial small subunit ribosomal RNA", at positions 339 to 795 of the family's 1533-position model. The record is from RNAcentral.